Molecule: ribosomal RNA, 301 nt
Filed under: uncultured bacterium
Lineage: Bacteria
Description: partial 16S ribosomal RNA
Rfam family: Bacterial small subunit ribosomal RNA
Source: RNAcentral
CAGUCGCCACGGGAAUACGUAGGUGGCAAGCGUUGUCCGGAAUUAUUGGGCGUAAAGGGCUCGCAGGCGGUUUCUUAAGUCUGAUGUGAAAGCCCCCGGCUCAACCGGGGAGGGUCAUUGGAAACUGGGAAACUUGAGUGCAGAAGAGGAGAGUGGAAUUCCACGUGUAGCGGUGAAAUGCGUAGAGAUGUGGAGGAACACCAGUGGCGAGGCGACUCUCUGGUCUGUAACUGACGCUGAGGAGCGAAAGCGUGGGGAGCGAACAGGAUUAGAUACCCCCGUAGUCCCUGUCUCUUAUACA